Molecule: ribosomal RNA, 473 nt
Filed under: uncultured organism
Description: bacterial SSU rRNA
Rfam family: Bacterial small subunit ribosomal RNA
Source: RNAcentral
GAUGAACGCUGGCGGCGUGCCUAACACAUGCAAGUCGAGCGGGGUAUACGGAGCAGCUUGCUGCACUGUAGACCUAGCGGCGGACGGGUGAGUAACGCGUGGGUAACCUGCCUUACACAGGGGGAUAACACUGGGAAACCAGUGCUAAUACCGCAUAACAUCAUUUUAUGGCAUCAUGAAAUGAUCAAAGGAGAAAUCCGGUGUAAGAUGGGCCCGCGUCCGAUUAGCUAGUUGGUGAGGUAAUGGCUCACCAAGGCAGCGAUCGGUAGCCGGACUGAGAGGUUGGCCGGCCACAUUGGGACUGAGACACGGCCCAGACUCCUACGGGAGGCAGCAGUGGGGAAUAUUGCGCAAUGGGGGGAACCCUGACGCAGCGACGCCGCGUGAAGGAAGAAGGCCUUCGGGUUGUAAACUUCUUUGAUUGGGGAAGAAAAAUGACGGUACCCAAAGAACAAGCCACGGCUAACUACGUG